RNAcentral lists this ribosomal RNA (630 nucleotides) under uncultured Glomeromycotina. RNAcentral describes it as "SSU rRNA". It matches the Rfam family "Eukaryotic small subunit ribosomal RNA", at positions 373 to 1008 of the family's 1831-position model. The record is from RNAcentral. Lineage: Eukaryota; Fungi; Glomeromycota.
GGGCACGACACCGGAGAGGGAGCCUGAGAAACGGCUACCACANNNNNNNNNGGCAGCAGGCGCGCAAAUUACCCAAUCCCGACACGGGNAGGUAGUGACGAUAAAUAACAAUACGGGGUUCUUUAGGAUCUCGUAAUUGGAAUGAGUACAAUUUAAAUCUCUUAACGAGGAACAAUUGGAGGGCAAGUCUGGUGCCAGCAGCCGCGGUAAUCCCAGCUCCAAUAGCCUACAUUAAAGUUGUUGCAGUUAAAAAGCUCGUAGUUGAAUUUCGGGGUUAGUAGGUUGGUCAUGCCUCUGGUAUGUACUGGUCUCACUGAUUCCUCCUUCCUUAUGAACCGUAAUGCCAUUAAUUUGGUGUUGCGGGGAAUUUGGCCUGUUACUUUGAAAAAAUUAGAGUGUUUAAAGCAAGCUAACGCUUGAAUACAUAGCAUGGAAUAAUGAAAUAGGACGUUCGAUCUUAUUUUGUUGGUUUCUAGGAUUAACGUAAUGAUUAAUAGGGAUAGUUGGGGGCAUUAGUAUUCAAUUGUCAGAGGUGAAAUUCUUGGAUUUAUUGAAGACUAACUACUGCGAAAGCAUUUGCCAAGGAUGUUUUCAUUAAUCAAGAACGAAAGUUAGGGGAUCGAAGACGAU